AUGAACUGUCUCACCCGGCCCAGUGUGACGGUGCUGCCCCCCCCCUCCAGUGUGGAGCUGCAGCAGGAGAAGGUCACACUCGUGUGUGAGGCCAACAAGUGCUUUUCCUCGCACUGGAGGCUGACCUGGAAGGUUAAUGGGAACAGCUGGACCUCGGGGGAGAGUCACAGUGCUGAUGUUCUGCACACAGACGGCCUCUACAGCUGGAGCAGCACGCUGAGCCUCCACCCGGACCAGUGCAGGAACAAGCUGGUGACCUGUGAGGCCUUCAAGGAGAACCAACCUACUGUGGUGAGCACAGUGAACAUAGAGCAGUGCUCAGAGCUGGGAGCUCACACACAUUUUACACAGCUCACCUUCCACUGCUUCACUAAGUGUUACAUCUGGUCAUUAAUACCAAACUAUGUGUUAAGUGUUUUUCAAUGGAAUGUUCUGCUUUCGAUUAUUAAUAAAAGCUUUUGA
Molecule: non-coding RNA, 462 nt
Organism: Clarias gariepinus (North African catfish)
Lineage: Eukaryota; Metazoa; Chordata; Actinopteri; Siluriformes; Clariidae
Source: the annotation of a RefSeq genome assembly